UAGUUUUAAGUGUAUACGCACGUUAAAUUUUGAAUUUAAAAGAAAUAAAUUGUUUUUAUUAAAACUAA
RNAcentral lists this transfer RNA (68 nucleotides) under Ixodes nipponensis. Its description in RNAcentral is "tRNA-Gln". Lineage: Eukaryota; Metazoa; Arthropoda; Arachnida; Ixodida; Ixodidae. The record is from RNAcentral. RNAcentral also lists the same sequence under 1 other name.